AAAAAGCGGAGGAAAAGAAACCAACAGGGAUUGCCUCAGUAACGGCGAGUGAAGCGGCAAAAGCUCAAAUUUGAAAUCCCCCGGGAAUUGUAAUUUGAAGAGAUUUGGGUCCGGCCGGCAGGGGUUAAGUCCACUGGAAAGUGGCGCCACAGAGGGUGACAGCCCCGUGAACCCCUUUAACGCCUUCAUCCCAGAUCUCCAAGAGUCGAGUUGUUUGGGAAUGCAGCUCUAAGUGGGUGGUAAAUUCCAUCUAAAGCUAAAUACCGGCGAGAGACCGAUAGCGAACAAGUACAGUGAUGGAAAGAUGAAAAGCACUUUGAAAAGAGAGUGAAAAAGUACGUGAAAUUGUUGAAAGGGAAGGGCUUGCAAGCAGACACUUAACUGGGCCAGCAUCGGGGCGGCGGGGAGCAAAACCACUGGGGAAUGUACCUUUCGAGGAUUAUAACCCCGGUCCUUACUCCCUCACCAUCCCGAGGCCUGCAAUCUAAGGAUGCUGGCGUAAUGGUUGCAAGUCGCCCGUCUUGAA
RNAcentral lists this ribosomal RNA (526 nucleotides) under Metschnikowia sp. 11-1088. RNAcentral describes it as "eukaryotic LSU rRNA". It matches the Rfam family "Eukaryotic large subunit ribosomal RNA", at positions 45 to 658 of the family's 3401-position model. Lineage: Eukaryota; Fungi; Ascomycota; Pichiomycetes; Serinales; Metschnikowiaceae. The record is from RNAcentral.